This 754-nucleotide ribosomal RNA is filed under the name uncultured Streptococcaceae bacterium. Its description in RNAcentral is "bacterial SSU rRNA". It matches the Rfam family "Bacterial small subunit ribosomal RNA", at positions 54 to 783 of the family's 1533-position model. Lineage: Bacteria; Bacillati; Bacillota; Bacilli; Lactobacillales; Streptococcaceae. The record is from RNAcentral.
CAUGCAAGUAGAACGCACAGUUUAUACCGUAGCUUGCUACACCAUAGACUGUGAGUUGCGAACGGGUGAGUAACGCGUAGGUAACCUGCCUGGUAGCGGGGGAUAACUAUUGGAAACGAUAACUAAUACCGCAUAAUAUUAAUUAUUGCAUGAUAAUUAAUUGAAAGGUGCAAUUGCACCACUACCAGAUGGACCUGCGUUGUAUUAGCUAGUAGGUGAGGUAACGGCUCACCUAGGCGACGAUACAUAGCCGACCUGAGAGGGUGAUCGGCCACACUGGGACUGAGACACAGCCCAGACUCCUACGGGAGGCAGCAGUAGGGAAUCUUCGGCAAUGGACGAAAGUCUGACCGAGCAACGCCGCGUGAGUGAAGAAGGUUUUCGGAUCGUAAAGCUCUGUUGUAAGAGAAGAACGGGUGUGAGAGUGGAAAGUUCACACUGUGACGGUAUCUUACCAGAAAGGGACGGCUAACUACGUGCCAGCAGCCGCGGUAAUACGUAGGUCCCGAGCGUUGUCCGGAUUUAUUGGGCGUAAAGCGAGCGCAGGCGGUUAGAUAAGUCUGAAGUUAAAGGCUGUGGCUUAACCAUAGUACGCUUUGGAAACUGUUUAACUUGAGUGCAGAAGGGGAGAGUGGAAUUCCAUGUGUAGCGGUGAAAUGCGUAGAUAUAUGGAGGAACACCGGUGGCGAAAGCGGCUCUCUGGUCUGUAACUGACGCUGAGGCUCGAAAGCGUGGGGAGCGAACAGGAUUAGAU